Non-coding RNA from Ciona savignyi (Pacific transparent sea squirt), 73 nucleotides. NCBI's taxonomy places the organism in Eukaryota, Metazoa, Chordata, Ascidiacea, Phlebobranchia, Cionidae. The record is from Rfam.
GGUCCUGUGACCCAAUGGAUAAGGCGCCUGACUACGAAUCAGGAGAUUCCAGGUUCGAGUCCUGGCAGGAUCG